AAAACCUUUGCACCAUUACAAGACAUGGACAAGCAUCAGCUAGAUGAUGGUUCUAAGGCAGCAAUGGGGACCAUGAAGAAGCAAAAUAAAAAGGCAAAAGACACAAGAAAAAGAAACAAAGAGGCUAAAAAAAGGAAAGAUAACGAGGUAAAAAGAUUGGAAAUGGACCGGGACACAACGGAGAAAGAGAAAGAGAAAGAGAAGAUGGUUGAAGAAAAAAAGAAAGCCGAGCUGAUUUGGAGACUGGAGGAGGAGAGACUGAAGGCUUUGGCAGAAGUGACAGAAACAGACAUGGCAAAGGAACAGAAGGACGGUGAUAUGAAGGCAGACAUAUUGAGGGUGGAAGAACAAGGGAAGAGAGUUCAAGAAAACAGCCAGAAGCAUAAGACAAAACAGGAGCAAGAGACAAUGAAGUUAAAUAUGGGCAGAGAAAGAAUGGAAGAAGAGAUAAAGAUGAUGGAUGCAGAACAUGAUAAAGCCAAUAUGUCAAGGAGACUGGAAGAGAAGAGUAUGAGUGCUCUGGAAGAAGAAGAGGAGAAGAGGAGAGUAAAGGAGGAAGUUGAGACAGAAAUGGUGAAAGGACAUCCCUCCCCUGCAGAAAAGUUAGAGUCUGAUGAUAAAGUCUUGAGAGUCCCUGAAGAAUGUGAAAAAGAAGGAAAGAAAGGCAGGAAUAAAGGCAAGGAGAUCCUGAUGGAGGACAAAGAACCUAUGAUGAAGCCCGAAAAGACAGCACAUGCAAAUUCAGAGAAUAUUCUACUGAAGUCACCUUUACAAGGAGAUCACCUCUCUCCCAUUGUGGAAAAGGUGACAUCAAAACCUUUGGCACCAUUACAAGACAUGUGCAAGCAUCAGCUAGAUGAUGGUUCUAAUGCAGCAAUGGAUGAGGAAUGCAUGAGGAAGCAAAAGAAAAAGGCAAAAGACACAAGAAAAAGAAACAUACAGGCUGAAAAAAGGAAAUACAACGAGUUAAAAAGAUUGGAAAUGGACAGGGACACAACGGAGAAAGAGAAAAAGAAGAUGGUUGAAGAAAAAAAGAAAGCAGAGCUGAUUAGGAGAUUAGAGGAGGAGAGACUGAAGGCUUUGGCAGAAGUGACAGAAAUGUUGAAAGCAAAAAAAGCUAUUCGAAUGUAAACACUAUCGGAAGGGCCAUCUUCCAAAUAAGAUAAUCAGAGACCUAAGACAAAUGUCAUCAUUCCAGAUACUCACAGAUUCACACAGUAUUUUAUUUGAUCUUCUUUCACAUUUUUUUUUUUUCUAGUGACAGCUAUUUUUGACAAUUUGCCUUGAAGACACCCCACACUCCUAUAAUGAAAUAAACAAAACAUAAAGUAUGCUUGGGCAAAAAGGUAGUUUUAUUGUCAUGUUUUAAUAUGACUAGAACAGAGCAUAGAAUUAGAUAGAGUCAGAUGUCAUUAGACAUCCCAAUCGAGAGUCAAAAUCCA
Molecule: long non-coding RNA, 1442 nt
Organism: Clupea harengus (Atlantic herring)
Lineage: Eukaryota; Metazoa; Chordata; Actinopteri; Clupeiformes; Clupeidae
Source: Ensembl